RNAcentral lists this ribosomal RNA (1318 nucleotides) under Leuconostoc citreum. Its description in RNAcentral is "bacterial SSU rRNA". It matches the Rfam family "Bacterial small subunit ribosomal RNA", at positions 116 to 1422 of the family's 1533-position model. The record is from RNAcentral. Lineage: Bacteria; Bacillati; Bacillota; Bacilli; Lactobacillales; Lactobacillaceae.
CGUGGAUAACCUGCCUCAAGGCUGGGGAUAACAUUUGGAAACAGAUGCUAAUACCGAAUAAAACUUAGUAUCGCAUGAUAUCAAGUUAAAAGGCGCUACGGCGUCACCUAGAGAUGGAUCCGCGGUGCAUUAGUUAGUUGGUGGGGUAAAGGCUUACCAAGACGAUGAUGCAUAGCCGAGUUGAGAGACUGAUCGGCCACAUUGGGACUGAGACACGGCCCAAACUCCUACGGGAGGCUGCAGUAGGGAAUCUUCCACAAUGGGCGCAAGCCUGAUGGAGCAACGCCGCGUGUGUGAUGAAGGCUUUCGGGUCGUAAAGCACUGUUGUAUGGGAAGAAAUGCUAAAAUAGGGAAUGAUUUUAGUUUGACGGUACCAUACCAGAAAGGGACGGCUAAAUACGUGCCAGCAGCCGCGGUAAUACGUAUGUCCCGAGCGUUAUCCGGAUUUAUUGGGCGUAAAGCGAGCGCAGACGGUUGAUUAAGUCUGAUGUGAAAGCCCGGAGCUCAACUCCGGAAUGGCAUUGGAAACUGGUUAACUUGAGUGUUGUAGAGGUAAGUGGAACUCCAUGUGUAGCGGUGGAAUGCGUAGAUAUAUGGAAGAACACCAGUGGCGAAGGCGGCUUACUGGACAACAACUGACGUUGAGGCUCGAAAGUGUGGGUAGCAAACAGGAUUAGAUACCCUGGUAGUCCACACCGUAAACGAUGAAUACUAGGUGUUAGGAGGUUUCCGCCUCUUAGUGCCGAAGCUAACGCAUUAAGUAUUCCGCCUGGGGAGUACGACCGCAAGGUUGAAACUCAAAGGAAUUGACGGGGACCCGCACAAGCGGUGGAGCAUGUGGUUUAAUUCGAAGCAACGCGAAGAACCUUACCAGGUCUUGACAUCCUUUGAAGCUUUUAGAGAUAGAAGUGUUCUCUUCGGAGACAAAGUGACAGGUGGUGCAUGGUCGUCGUCAGCUCGUGUCGUGAGAUGUUGGGUUAAGUCCCGCAACGAGCGCAACCCUUAUUGUUAGUUGCCAGCAUUCAGUUGGGCACUCUAGCGAGACUGCCGGUGACAAACCGGAGGAAGGCGGGGACGACGUCAGAUCAUCAUGCCCCUUAUGACCUGGGCUACACACGUGCUACAAUGGCGUAUACAACGAGUUGCCAACCUGCGAAGGUGAGCUAAUCUCUUAAAGUACGUCUCAGUUCGGACUGCAGUCUGCAACUCGACUGCACGAAGUCGGAAUCGCUAGUAAUCGCGGAUCAGCACGCCGCGGUGAAUACGUUCCCGGGUCUUGUACACACCGCCCGUCACACCAUGGGAGUUUGUAAUGCCC